UCUCCUGGAAACGGGUGGUAAUGCCGGAUGUUCCACAUGAGCGCAUGCGAGUGUGGGAAAGGCUUUUUGCGGCAUGGGAUGGGGUCGCGUCCUAUCAGCUUGUUGGUGGGGUAACGGCCUACCAAGGCGUUGACGGGUAGCCGGCCUGGGAGGGCGACCGGCCACAUUGGGACUGAGAUACGGCCCAGACUCCUACGGGAGGCAGCAGUGGGGAAUAUUGCACAAUGGGCGCAAGCCUGAUGCAGCGACGCCGCGUGCGGGAUGGAGGCCUUCGGGUUGUAAACCGCUUUUGUUCAAGGGCAAGGCACGGUUUCGGCCGUGUUGAGUGGAUUGUUCGAAUAAGCACCGGCUAACUACGUGCCAGCAGCCGCGGUAAUACGUAGGGUGCAAGCGUUAUCCGGAUUUAUUGGGCGUAAAGGGCUCGUAGGCGGUUCGUCGCGUCCGGUGUGAAAGUCCAUCGCUUAACGGUGGAUCCGCGCCGGGUACGGGCGGGCUUGAGUGCGGUAGGGGAGACUGGAAUUCCCGGUGUAACGGUGGAAUGUGUAGAUAUCGGGAAGAACACCA
RNAcentral lists this ribosomal RNA (564 nucleotides) under uncultured Bifidobacterium sp. Its description in RNAcentral is "bacterial SSU rRNA". It matches the Rfam family "Bacterial small subunit ribosomal RNA", at positions 146 to 711 of the family's 1533-position model. The record is from RNAcentral. Lineage: Bacteria; Bacillati; Actinomycetota; Actinomycetes; Bifidobacteriales; Bifidobacteriaceae.